RNAcentral lists this unclassified non-coding RNA (322 nucleotides) under Hevea brasiliensis (rubber tree). The record is from RNAcentral. Lineage: Eukaryota; Viridiplantae; Streptophyta; Magnoliopsida; Malpighiales; Euphorbiaceae.
UAUAUGCGAAUUAGAUUGAAUAAAACAUACUUGGUUUUAUUCCUCUUUCCUUAACUUUCAAGUAUGUCAAUUCCGAAAAGUUAUGGAACUCAAGUGUAAAGUAGAUAUAGUCGAGAGAGUUUAUUUUCUCUUUAAAUUAAUGAUAAAUUCUUCUCUAUGAUCUCUACACCCAAUUCGAUAGUUUGUUUGCAAGCUAAGGCACUACCAAUUCUGAUCUUUCGAAAUGGAACUUGAGGGAGCAGAGCUUACUACUAGUGGAACAAAAGAAAGGAAACAGGGAAAUCAACAAAAUGAUUCAUCUUUUCUUUUCUUUAUAGUUGUA